This 396-nucleotide ribosomal RNA is filed under the name Ceratitis contramedia. Its description in RNAcentral is "partial 12S ribosomal RNA". The record is from RNAcentral. Lineage: Eukaryota; Metazoa; Arthropoda; Insecta; Diptera; Tephritidae.
CUUACUUUAAUAAUAAGAGUGACGGGCGAUGUGUGCAUAUUUUAGAGCUAAAAUCAAAACUAUAAUCUUUUAUUUUUUACUAUCAAAUCCACCUUCAUUAAAAUUUUUAAUAAUUAAAUUCGUCUAAAUAUUUUUAUUGUAACUCAUCUCUACUUAAAUAUAAGCUACACCUUGAUCUGAUAUAAAUUUUAAUUUAAAUUAUUGAAAAUUAUUUUUUUUAUAAAAUAUUCUGAUAACGACGGUAUAUAAACUGAAUACAAAAUUAAGUAAGGUACAUCGGGGAUUAUCAAUUACAGGACAAGUUCCUCUGAAUAGACUAAAAUACCGCCAAAUUUUUUAAGUUUCAAGAACAUAACUAAUACUACCUUAAUAUUUUUUAUUUAAUUUUAAAUAAUA